RNAcentral lists this ribosomal RNA (460 nucleotides) under uncultured bacterium. RNAcentral describes it as "partial 16S ribosomal RNA". It matches the Rfam family "Bacterial small subunit ribosomal RNA", at positions 338 to 795 of the family's 1533-position model. The record is from RNAcentral.
CCUACGGGAGGCAGCAGUGAGGAAUAUUGGUCAAUGGACGAGAGUCUGAACCAGCCAAGUAGCGUGAAGGAUGACUGCCCUAUGGGUUGUAAACUUCUUUUAUAUGGGAAUAAAAUGUUCCACGUGUGGGAUUUUGUAUGUACCAUAUGAAUAAGGAUCGGCUAACUCCGUGCCAGCAGCCGCGGUAAUACGGAGGAUCCGAGCGUUAUCCGGAUUUAUUGGGUUUAAAGGGAGCGUAGGUGGAUUGUUAAGUCAGUUGUGAAAGUUUGCGGCUCAACCGUAAAAUUGCAGUUGAAACUGGCAGUCUUGGGUACAGUAGAGGUGGGCGGAAUUCGUGGUGUAGCGGUGAAAUGCUUAGAUAUCACGAAGAACUCCGAUUGCGAAGGCAGUUCACUGGACUGCAACUGACACUGAGGCUCGAAAGUGUGGGUAUCAAACAGGAUUAGAUACCCGAGUAGUC